GAGCGGUAACAGGCGUAGCAAUACGUGCUGACGAGCGGCGAACGGGUGAGUAACGCUUCGGAAUCUGCCCAAUGGUGGGGAAUAACCAGCCGAAAGGUUGGCUAAUACCGCAUGAGCCCUACGGGGGAAAGCGGGGGAUCGCAAGACCUCGCGCCGAUGGAUGAGCCGAAGCCGGAUUAGCUAGUUGGUAGGGUAACGGCCUACCAAGGCGACGAUCCGUAGCUGGUCUGAGAGGACGACCAGCCACACUGGGACUGAGACACGGCCCAGACUCCUACGGGAGGCAGCAGUGGGGAAUUUUGCGCAAUGGGGGAAACCCUGACGCAGCAACGCCGCGUGGAGGAUGAAGCCCUUUGGGGCGUAAACUCCUUUC
Molecule: ribosomal RNA, 373 nt
Filed under: uncultured bacterium
Lineage: Bacteria
Description: bacterial SSU rRNA
Rfam family: Bacterial small subunit ribosomal RNA
Source: RNAcentral